CGAACGGGGAGAUUCAUCGUCAGCGACGCUGGCUUCGCGUCGGUGGGCGAUGUCCCGCGGGGCCUCGCGGCUCGCGCGCGGGCACGCUGCCGUGCGUCGAUGUCCGGCGUUCGUCGUCGUGCACUUCUCCCCUAGUAGAACGUCGCGACCCGCUGGGUGUCGGUCUACGGCCCGGGUGCGGUGACUGACGCGUCGCCGGUAAAACGGCACGCGUCAAACCCCCGAUCGCCCGGCCGGCUGCCCGGCGGUACACGCAAGGUAUCAGGCCGCACCUCAACUCAGUGCGUCGAGGCCGUCGCAAGCGCGCGCCACGGUACCCGGAGGUAAACGGACCUGGCGCCGUCACCGGUCCUGGCCCGCUGUUGGUCGUACGGUUAACCUUCGACAGGCCUGCGAACGUCCCGCGGCCGGCCCCUCGCGGGUCGUCGCGGUGACCGAUACCGGUCGGCGACGCUACUGCUUUGGGUACUCUUAGGACCC
This 480-nucleotide ribosomal RNA is filed under the name Aphaenogaster senilis. Its description in RNAcentral is "eukaryotic LSU rRNA". The record is from RNAcentral. Lineage: Eukaryota; Metazoa; Arthropoda; Insecta; Hymenoptera; Formicidae.